Molecule: long non-coding RNA, 751 nt
Organism: Panicum virgatum (switchgrass)
Lineage: Eukaryota; Viridiplantae; Streptophyta; Magnoliopsida; Poales; Poaceae
Exons: 2
Source: RefSeq, a predicted model, not a curated record
GUGGGUGAGGGAAAUAAAGGGGAGUCCAGCGAUCAGGACACUACAGUAGCACUCAAUGUUGGCGUAACCCAGGAAAGCGGGAUUUCAAUGGAACGACCACCUUGUGCAAAGACAAAGGGACGUAGCAAGACAUUAGCCGAAAUGAAUGAAGUCACUCUUGGAGCACAAGGAGAAAAGAAGGGAACCAGAAGAUGCAGCGUGUGUAAAUUGAAGUCAACCCAUAACUCAGCGACAUGCCCAACGUUGCAAAAGAAUAAAGACCGCCUUGAAGCGAUGAAGAAUAAAAGGAGGGGCAGACCUGCGGGAGCAAAGAACAAGCAGAACAUGUAUGAUCAUGGAAACAAUAGGAAGGAACUGGAGGAAAGGCCGCUGCAAAGGAGGAGGCUUUUGGAAGACAACUCUUACAUAGGAAUCCCUAGUAAUUCCGAGGAUGAUGAUGAAUAUGUAGAUGAUGACCGGCAGGAGGAACAAGCCAUCAGUGGCGGGAGUGAGUAAUAGAAGUGAUGCAGGAUUUAGUGUUGCAUCACUAUAAAAGCUAAAUAUUGUAUUGAAUGCAGUCUUAAAACUCCUAAUCAGUAGUGUACUCCUGUAUGCUUGGAAAGUAUUAGUUGAAUGUUAGAACUAAAGUCUUCAAUCAGUGUCAGCCUUCCCUAGGAUUCCAUGUACAUUGAAGUGCUAAUAUUUUAGGACAAUAUUUGUGCAUUUGCAAUCAGCAUUAGUUUGGUUCAACAAAGAGGAUAAUUUUAUAUUU